UUUUAUGGAGAGUUUGAUCCUGGCUCAGGAUGAACGCUGGCGGCGUGCCUAAUACAUGCAAGUCGAGCGAACAGAUAAGGAGCUUGCUCCUUUGACGUUAGCGGCGGACGGGUGAGUAACACGUGGGUAACCUACCUAUAAGACUGG
Molecule: ribosomal RNA, 147 nt
Filed under: Staphylococcus cohnii
Lineage: Bacteria; Bacillati; Bacillota; Bacilli; Caryophanales; Staphylococcaceae
Description: partial 16S ribosomal RNA
Rfam family: Bacterial small subunit ribosomal RNA
Source: RNAcentral